This 2996-nucleotide long non-coding RNA is filed under the name Capra hircus (goat). RNAcentral describes it as "lncRNA (ENSCHIG00010004866.1)". The record is from RNAcentral. Lineage: Eukaryota; Metazoa; Chordata; Mammalia; Artiodactyla; Bovidae.
UGGGAGUUGGUGAUGGACAGGGAAGCCUAGUGUGCUGCAGUCCAUGGAGUGGCAAACAGUCAGACACGGCUGAGCGACUGAACAACAACCACCGCCAUACACAUAGGGCUUCCCAGAUGGUGCGGUGAUAAAGGACCUGCCUACCAGUGCAGGAGACUUAGGAGACGCAGGUUGGGAACAUCCCCUGGAGAGUGAAAUGGCAACCGACUCCAGUGUUCUUGCCUGAAAAAUUCCACAGACAGAGGAGCCUGAUGGGCUACAGUCCCUGAGAUUGCAAAGAGCCAGACACAACUGAGCAACUGAGCAUGCAUGCACAGGACAGAUAUAUAUAUGUGUGUGUACAUAUAUAUAUAUAUAGAGAGAGAGAGAGAGAAAGCGCAGUAUAGAUUUUUCUUUCCAGCAGAAAGAAUACAAAAUCAGAUUUUAUCGUUGCUGCCUUCAAAGGAACUUACAAUUUGGAAGAUGGAUGUAUACACAAAUACACAAAGUAAUAAGCAAACUUUGUUUAUGCUAACAGUGGGAAGAUGUUUAUGCUAAGCAAAAAAUAUGCUAACAGUGGGAAGAUGAGGGAAGAGAGAAGAGUUUCAGUGGGGAUGUUUUUUCCUAAUUUGCUUUAAGCCAUCAAAGAAAGAUAUAUCUACUACAAAAAUAUGAAUUGUUCACAAAGAAGGAAUAUAUCAUCAAUGGAUAUCAUAUUGGUUUCUAUUGCCAAAACUAUUGCACUAAUAUGGCAUGUUUAAGUGUCCUUCCUGGAUUCCUUCUAAUAGGGCCUGAGUCUAUUGUGGAAACACAGUAGGACAUUGAGUUGAAGAAACGAUAGCAACAGAUGCUGCUAAAUAUAAACCUGAUGCUUAAGUAACCAUUAUGCCAAGGGUGGAAGUAAAUGUUUAAUUCCCUUUUGUGGAGCAUGUACAAGAAUAUUUCUAACAAAAUGAACUGAGUUUCAAUGUGCAGGGGGCCAUUCUUCCCAAGUUGAUAACUUGGGAAGAAAGAACUAAUCUCUGUACAUUUAUUUUCCUCUUGGAUUCAAUAUUCAAGGCUGCCAUGAGGACCAAGUACAGAGACAUUUAACGCAUAUUGGCCUCUCCUGCUUCCUUACUUUUAAAGUUAUCCACUUGUAACACACUUAUUUUUUUAAAGUUGUCCUUGAUAUUUCAUUUAAGCCUAAUUUUAUCUGCAUACUUGUGGAGACUAAGAAGGAGAACUCUCCCCAUAAUUGUCUAGCAAUACUUGCUGUAUGGAUCUUUUUAUAGUCUACUAAAAUUUAUAGUCUACAUAACUUGUGAAAUAUUUAAUCCGUGAUAGUUUCAGAGCAGUGUGACAGGGUACCUUCAACCACAAUUGAAAUCAAAAUAAUUGCCUCAAGCCUUCAAUAUUACUUUAUUCCAUAUCCUCAGAAUAAUAAAUCUUUUGAGGCAACUGUAGAUGAGAGUUUAUUUCCUAGGGAGAUUGUUCUCCAUGGACAUGUAACUGAAACUUUGUAACUAAACCCUAUAUUAUUCUCAAUCAUAAGCUUUUUGUUAAUUUUUUAUGAAAUAAAUGUGGUAAUUCUCAACCAAAAUUAGGAAAAAAUAAUAAUUCUGUUAUUCUUUAAGUUGCUUUCUAUCCCCAAAGGAAAUAGCCUAUUCUAAUAGGCAAAUUGGGACUAAAGGNNNNNNNNNNNNNNNNNNNNNNNNNNCAAUUGCAAGACAGCCAGGAGACAAAUUUAAAUUCUGUUAAGAAUAGCAGGAAGUAUUUUGGUUCUAAGCAGGAUGGCACCACUUGUGGUUUUGCUAAGUACACAAGACAAGUCAGAUCAAGUGUGUGGCUUUUUUGUGUGAAUGGAAACAACUCCUGUCUGUCCUAGUUCUUCACUGGAAUGCUGACAUGUGCAGUGCUUGACAAUUCAGAUCAUUUCAUUGGAAUCAGUCAGAGUUUACCCUGGCACUUGAAAAGAAGCUAUUCAAUAGUACAGGAGUGUCCAUUUUCAUUUUAACAGAAGGCAUAUAAUAACAUUCAGAAAUGUGAGAUUUUCUGGUUAUGUUGCUUUUAUGGUGACAUAAGUACAGUGUGGUAGAUAAAGAGAAAAAAAGCAUGGUUAGCGAUUAUAUUUCUCAAACCUGACAGAAGUGGUAGACAGAAUAAUUAGGACAUGGUAUCCUGUAUUAAAAUUCUAGAAUGUAGAGGAUUUAGGAAUCUUAGAUCAAAAUUCUGCAUGUAUUUCACUAGUACUCCACAAAUUUGAACCUUUCAGAGUCUAUGACUGUGGAUUUGGGUCUUUCAGGUACUUUUAAUUCUGUUUAUAUUGGCUGUCAUGGGCACAGUGAAAAAUGAAGUGAAAAAUGGAGGUAUAAUUGGCAGUUAAGAAUAAAAAUUUAUUGAGCACUGUUGACUGAAAAAAAGGCACAACCUAAAAGUUGAGAAUUAAUGUUUUGUUCAGUGGACUUACUGAGGACUUAAGCCUCUCAGAUAGCUUUGAAGGAUUGUUCUGAAGAGGUAAGUGAGGGGCCAGGAUACAUAAGAGUUUUUGAAAAAAAGAAAACAGAUUACUGCUAAUUAGUACACUCUUUGACAUAAAUCUCAGCAANNNNNNNNNNNNNNNNNNNNNNNNNNNNNNNNNNNNNNNNNNNNNNNNNNNNNNNNNNNNNNNNNNNNNNNNNNNNNNNNNNNNNNNNNNNNNNNNNNNAUACAGAAAAAGAAAUAAAAGGAAUCAAGAUUUGAAAAGAAGAAGUAAAACUCUCACUGAUUACAGAUGAAAUGGAUCAAAUACCUAAAUUUAAGGCCAGAAACUAUAAAACUAUCAGAGGAAAAUACAGACAGAAUACUCACUGACAUAAACUGCAGUAAGAUCCUCUUUGACCUACCUCCUGGAGUAAUGGAAAUAGAAACAAAAAUAAACAAAUGGGACCUAAUUAAACUCUUUUGCACAGCAAAGGAAACUAUAAACAAGAUGAAAAGACAACCCUCAAAAUGAAAGAAAAUAAUUGCAAUUGAAGCAAAUAACAAAGGAUUAAUCU